Non-coding RNA from Notechis scutatus (mainland tiger snake), 161 nucleotides. NCBI's taxonomy places the organism in Eukaryota, Metazoa, Chordata, Lepidosauria, Squamata, Elapidae. The record is from RefSeq and is a predicted model, not a curated record.
UUUCUCCCCUAUGUGUAACCUUACAUGAUUUAUAAGGCUAGCCCUACUACUGAAAUCUUUCCCACAAUCUGGACAUUCAUAUGGUUUCUCUCCUGUGUGAGUCCUCUGGUGUAUCACCAGGUAGGAAUUCUGACUGAAACUUUUCCCACAAUCAGGACACU